RNAcentral lists this ribosomal RNA (305 nucleotides) under uncultured bacterium. Its description in RNAcentral is "bacterial SSU rRNA". It matches the Rfam family "Bacterial small subunit ribosomal RNA", at positions 337 to 635 of the family's 1533-position model. The record is from RNAcentral.
ACCUACGGGGGGCAGCAGUAGGGAAUUUUCGUCAAUGGGCGCAAGCCUGAACGAGCAAUGCCGCGUGAACGAGGAAGGUCUUCUGAUCGUAAAGUUCUGUUGAAGGGGAAAAAGAGCGGAGAGAGGAAAUGGUCUCCGAUUGAUAUUACCCUUCGAGGAAGUCACGGCUAACUACGUGCCAGCAGCCGCGGUAAUACGUAGGUGGCGAGCGUUAUCCGGAAUGAUUGGGCGUAAAGGGUGCGUAGGCGGCCUGCUAAGUCUGGAGUGAAAGGUACCGGCUCAACCGGUACAGGCUCUGGAAACUG